Molecule: ribosomal RNA, 404 nt
Filed under: Actinomycetes bacterium
Lineage: Bacteria; Bacillati; Actinomycetota; Actinomycetes
Description: Actinobacteria bacterium partial 16S ribosomal RNA
Rfam family: Bacterial small subunit ribosomal RNA
Source: RNAcentral
UGGGGAAUAUUGGACAAUGGGCGCAAGCCUGAUCCAGCCAUGCCGCGUGAGUGAUGAAGGCCCUAGGGUUGUAAAGCUCUUUCACUGGUGAAGAUAAUGACGGUAACCGGAGAAGAAGCCCCGGCUAACUUCGUGCCAGCAGCCGCGGUAAUACGAAGGGGGCUAGCGUUGUUCGGAUUUACUGGGCGUAAAGCGCACGUAGGCGGACUUUUAAGUCAGGGGUGAAAUCCCGGGGCUCAACCCCGGAACUGCCUUUGAUACUGGAAGUCUUGAGUAAGGUAGAGGUGAGUGGAAUUCCGGGUGUAGAGGUGAAAUUCGUAGAUAUUCGGAGGAACACCAGUGGCGAAGGCGGCUCACUGGACCAUUACUGACGCUGGGGUGCGAAAGCGUGGGGAGCAAAGAGG